Homo sapiens (human) is the source of this 1964-nucleotide long non-coding RNA. Lineage: Eukaryota; Metazoa; Chordata; Mammalia; Primates; Hominidae. The record is from Ensembl.
AAGCUUUCCCCAUGCAGAUAGCAACCACAGCUUUCAAGUCAUGCCCCUCUCUGUUCCCUGAAAAGCCUGGCACUUGGCUCCUACUCACAACUCCUGCACUCAUGGCUCAUGAACCCGUGGCUCCUGCACUCACAGCCUGCUUUUCACUCUCCCCUACACUGGCCCUGGCCACGGGAUUUUGUCACCACCAAAGGUUACAUCUGGAAACCCCGUUGGGAGCUUCUUUCAACUUGUGACCACUGCCUGAACUUUUUGGCUGUCCUUCACGAGGCCUUCUGAGCAACAUGAGUUCUCACCAGAUCUGACAGUUUUAUAAGGGGCUUUUCCCCCUUUUGCUCAGCACUUCCUGAUGUGUCAUGUGAAGAAGAAUGUGUUGGCUUCCCUUUCCAACAUGAUUAUAAGUUUCCUAAGUCCUCCCCAGCCAUGCCGAACUGACUCCUUAUUGCUGCUGCCAUGGGAAGAAGGAUGUGUUCGCUUCUCCACUACUGUGGUUGUAAAUUUUCUGAAACCUCCACAGCCAUGCUGAACUGGAUCAUUGAAGUAGCAGUGGCAACGAUGUUAUGAAAGUUCCAUGGACGUCAGAGAUCCAGGAUCUUCUUGUUUCCUCACCACCAUCAUCAACUUCUCUGUCUUUUUUGGUUAAAAAGCCACCACAUCUACGACUGCAGUUUUCCCAGCAGAAAACAGGCUGUAUCUACAUCGCUUUCAGCUGUAACCCACUGUUAUAGUAGAUACUCAAUGGCAUGAUAGUAAGGUGUGAGGAAGAAAAAAAGUUCUACAAUGGCUUGCAUUCUUGGAAGGUAAAGGGAUAAGAAGCUGUGAAGGUUACGUAAUGGAGAUGAAAGGCAAGCUACAGGAAGUGAAAUUGGCAAUUCUUCUUGGUCCCUGUUUGGGAAAAUGUGAAUCUCAUCCUCUCAGUUUCUAGUUUGACAGACUAUAAGGAGUCUAUCAAGAAACCAUGUACAGAAAUAUCAAGUAAAAUAUAUCAUAAAAAAGGGACUCUGAGAACCUAGUGACCUGAAAAAAUGUUACUUAUGAAACUAAUGACCUAAGAAUGCCUUUAAAUCGAAGAGCAUCUAGUACAGCAAAGAGACCUUCAAAAUGGGCAUGUAAGCACUGAUCCAGAUAGAAGAUUAAAUAGCACGAUAUAUUAAAAAGCAUAAGAGUUAGAGACGAAUGCUGAAAGACCAUGAAAAAUCUCAGAGACAAGUCAUUUCUGGGACAAUAAAUAGCGGAAGACAGCAUUUAACAAUGAAUUAAGGGAAAUUCCAUUCUUUCCUGUAUUUCAGCACUGCGGAAGUCUACGAAGCAGUUAAUGUUAAGAAAUACCAUUGACUAAAAAAAAAAAAAUGAUUUUCUGCAUUGGAUGUUAAAAGAUAUGAAGCAAGAAAUUGACCAUUCAGUGGAACAAUGUGAAUCCUAAAUUAUCUAAAUAAAAACAAGAGGAUCAGUUAAUUCAGAAAAAAGAAUUGUAUAAAUUCUGGAACUCGGUAGAUAUAUUCUCCUUAACAAAUUCUGGCAAAGAAUUCUCCCAAUCACUUAUUCAUUAGGGAUUGAGAAUUGACACUAGAAACAGAUAACUUGUGCUUAAUAUUGUGCUUAAGCUUUAAGCAUAGAAAAUUUCCUUGAUGCAAGGGGGUUACUGUGUCACCUCAAGUUAAAAGGCAAUUUAGGAAGUGAUAUGUAACUAGCAGUUUGAAAGUAUUCUAAAUAUUACUUGCUAACAAAAUUCACUCUCUACAGAAGGGACAUACCUAACAAAGAAUACAUCUUGCAGAUUGCUACAUAAAGAGUAAGUACAUUGACAAAUAUUAUGUACUUAAAAUAUAUACAGCUCUGUACUUAGCAUGCCACAUAGAAUUCCUUAAUAUUCCUCUUAACAGCUGUACAAGUUAACUUGACUUUUAUACGCAUUAUACACAUGAAAAAAAUGAGAUGAGAAAGGCCAAAUAAAAUGAAUGAAU